ACGGCACCCAAACAGUCCGGAACAACCUGAACGACCCUGUAAAAAUCCACUCGGGCACACCAGCACGAGUGUAAAUAUAUUCUAAACUACCUGAAGUACUCGUCUCGAAGAUACUGCGACAGUAUAAUUUUAUAACGGCUCCUAGAGCUAAAUCAGGCAGUUUAAACACUGUGACAAGUCCAAAUCGCAAGUUUCUCCUAAUUCAAUUCCAAAUCCAACAUGUAUAAACUACUCAAUUUAAUACCACAUGCUCCAAAUUCAGAUUUGCUAUCUAUAACAAAAUCCAUGAAUUCGAGCUAAAGUAAACUAUACAAAAUCUGAAAAUUACACAUGUUGACUAUUGCGCACUUAGGAGUAUAAGCCGAUGAUUAACCCACCUUAGUCGCUAAUCCCAGCAGUGAGACGUCCUGAAGCAAAGGAACACCUUGCUGGAUCAAUCCGCAAACCUCCAAAGGCCAGAAAUCACGCUCCGCAAACUCUACACGUAAAAUCCAAAAUGACACCGAUUCUGCUCAAAAACAGCAGCAGAGAAGAGAAUAAUUCCGACCAAUAAAACCUCCACCAAAACCAGCAAGUAGGGGCUUCGUGGAUUUCUCUCGAAGUCCUGAAUCCAACGAACCAAGUCUCGUCGAAAUCCGAUGCUCCUACGUCGAGAGGGAGCCGAAACGCGACGGUCGACGCUGGAAAUCAGUGAAAACAGCACCUCGAGCUCGAUUCAUGAAGCUUGAAGUAAGAAAGAAUCCAUGAGGAAUGAGAAAUUACCACCUCAACCAGCGACUCCAAUUCUGGCACGGCGUCGAGAACGCGAAAACACUCCCUCGCCCGGCCUCCUCGCUAAACUACGGCGACGCACGUAUGCUCGGACGGCUCCGCAGCGCGAUGACGUACGACGACGAAAUGCUCCACACGAACCCUUCCUUGCUCACAAUCGCUAGAGGGAGAGAGAAGAAGAAAUAAUUUAGAGAGAUGUACAACCUGAGUGAUAAGUAUGCAUCGGGGGGGGGGGUGGUGGGGGGGGGUUAGUGCACGUGCAUUCCAUCCACCCAACUUACCAACUCAAAACUUGCAAAAAAACCAAUAAAAAAAAAAUCAGAAUACUACAAUUAUUUAUAUAAUUAUACUUAAAAACACAUAUUUUAAAAACACAUCUUUUUUCGUAGGCAAAAUAAAUAACGUAACAAACUAAGCUUUCAUUUUUUUUUCUAACGACCGGAUAAUCUUUACUUUUUAUUAAAUAUUUAUAUUCAUUUCUUUUUUUUUAAUAAUAUUUUGGAUUUUUUUGUACUAUCUACAGAUAUGAUAGUUGUUAUAUUAAUUUUUAUUGAUUGCAACCAACAAUCAAAUUUGAAUUUAAUUAUAAAGAUAUAUUUAAAUUUUAAACUUAUUUAUUUUACAUUUUAUUUUAUCUUAAAUUCAUAGUUAAAAUUUAAUUAUAUUAUUUAAAUUUAAAUUAUAAAUUUUUAAAUAAAAAUUAAAUUUGAGUUCAAAUAAUGAAUUAAAUUUAAUUUUGGAUAUCAAAUAUAAAUAUAAUUAAAAAUUUUAAUUAAAUUAGAUCAAAAUUAAAUCUUAAAUUUUGAAUUAAAAGUGAUUAAAAUUUUGAUACUUUUAGUUUAAAAUACAUAUUUAAAUUUUGGAUUCAUGAGAAUUCAAGAAGCAAACAGAAUUAUUCAAUGUACACAAAAAGGAAAGAAAUAGAUCUAUAUAAUUAUUGUCAACAGUAAUAAUUUAAAUUUGGGUUAGAAUACGGUAGAUAUUUUCUAAUAAUAUAAAACAAAUUAAUUUACUUUUUUUAAAAUUUAAAUUUUUAAUGUAAUUUUUUUGAUAAAUAUGAUGUACUAAUUUAUAUUGAUUUGAGUAACUAUUAAAAUAAUUGUAACAAGCAUUUGCCUAUAUACUCAACUAUUAUUAUUGUGAUAACCAUUUGGAUUUGGCCACCCAAUCUUUUAAAAUUUUGAUUUUACUUUUCAACAUUUCAAUUUGUUUGAUUUAAGUCAAUCAACGACACUUAACCCUUAAAAGUUUAAGAUAAUAUUUAUUUUAAUGAAUUUAUAGUUGUGAGAAUUGCAUAAAAUAUACUAAUUAACUAAAUUUGUAAAGAUAAAAUCACGUAUUCAAACUUUAAAUCCAAAGUGUACUUAAUUGGCUCAAAUCAAACAAAUUGAAAGACUAGGUAUAAAACCAAAAUUUGGAAAGGUUGGGUAGCUAAUUCCAAAUACUCGAUAGUUCAAGUAAUUUUCAUUUACCAAUAUUAAAAAACUAAAUUAUUUUUUUCAUAUACAAAUUAUAAUAAUACAACAGAAAAAGUCAUAGAGUAAAAGAAAUAUUAAUACUCAACAAAUUCAUUUUCAUCAUAUUUUAAAUGUGUAAACAAAAUAAAAGAGAUACUAAAAUUUACAUAAUCAAUUUUCGUCACAUUUUUAACGUACAAACUAAAUAAAAGAGUAAUUAGUACCACAAUCAAUUAUAUUUAAAUAUAGCUAGCAUUACCUAUUAUAUUAUUUUAUUAUUUUUUUCCCUACAUCUCUCUCCAAUGAAUUCAUUAUACUGUUUUGGGUAAGUCGAGUUUUGGUUGUAUCUUUAUUACAGAAACCAAACAAUAAAAAUAGUCAUUUACGGUCAAUAGCGACUUCACCUCUCUCCACUUUCACCCAAACAAACAGAUGAUUAGGGCAUAAUAGUUUUUAUUUGACCCAUAAAAUACUCAAAUGCAAGAGCACUGUGAAUAUCUUGAUUGAUCUACAAUGCAAUGGGUCUAUCCAAAACGUUAGAAAAAUUUGCUGUGAAACUUAGUGAAGCAUGAAACUUGCAUGACUUUUUUUUUUUUGGAGAAAAAUAUAGCGUGCUAUCCGAUUCAUUCAUUAGGUAAAAUAAAGUUAACUAAAGUGUCAGGCAUCUGGGCCUCAAUCCAAAAAAAUGUAAGCAUUAAACAUGCAUGACCAAUUUUUCUUGGCCUAUUAUGUAGGACGAAGGAUAAUUAAUUAGUCGUAGGCUACCAUUUGUAAAUUUGCUUCUUCUCGUGAAGUUGCAUGCGUAAAGCAUGCCUAAUUAAUUGAAAGCGCCGUGGUUCGAUAUAAAAGGAUACAAUCCAUGUAAUGUUGUGCCAAAACUGCAAGUUCGUUCUUUAUCUCAGCAUUGAGAAGCUACUUUGUUUCUCUUUGUGUUGGUAUUAUAAAAAAAACCUUUUUUGGGAUUUUUUUUUUGGGGGGGGACAGUAUGGGAAGGAUGGUUAUAAUUAUAUGCUAAUUAAGUUGAAUAAGAUGAAAGGAGGUUUGUAUUUUGAUUUAUUCAUAUGAAACAUCUGAUUCAUAUGAACAUAGAUAAGUUUUUAUAUCAUUUAAAUUUGCUCUCAUAUCACUAUAUUUUAUUUUAAUAUUCAAGCAAAAUGCAUCUUAAAAAGCUAAGUGCAUCUUAAAAAGGCAAUUCUAACAAAAUAUUUUACUCUUAAGUCAAAACUCAUGUCAAUUUCUUCUUGAUAGAAUCAAUUUUAGAAGAUCCAUGACAUAUUCUAAAGAACUAUCGAGGAUAACUAACGAUUAGAAUGAGUAGUGUGGCUCAAAAUUCUGUGAAGUAAAUAAACAAAAAGUAAAUAGACAAAAAGUAAAAAUCUGUACGGUAAAUGGUCAAAAAAUAGUAAGGGCGGUUACAUUAGAUGGUCACGUUAUCCCAUCUCCACCUUUUCCGCCACGAGUUGUUGGCAGCUAGAUUGUCGUCCUUUGUUUCUUACUUCUUUUCCUGAUAUUGAAUUAUGGUGGUACUGGUUAUAGUCGUGGUCAUGAAUAUGGCCAAGCAGGCCUUCUAACCUACCCACAUUAAGGUCUACUACUUUCACCUCACAUGACGUGGGAAGAAUCGAAAAUUCCACCACCAACAUCGUGUCCAGGGUAAUUGUUUCAACAAGAUCUUCUACUCGAAAUUUGCUAUUAAGAUUUGUUGGCUUUGGCCAGGUUCGAGCAAAUCGUUGGCUCAUCAAAGAAGAAGCAAACUGUGAUGUUUUUAGAACAUCACAAUUUGCAAGUGAAUGAUGUAUCAAAGGGCUCGAUCUGAAUCGCAACCUUGAUGAUGACAAUGCUCUGAGAGUGAUGGCGAUAGUGAUGAUCGGAUCACCUCCUCGCCAUUGAUCGAUGUUAACAGGGAUUGGUGUUAAGGGUCAGUGAAGUGGAGAGAUGAUGAUGAACAUGAACUUGAGGAGGAAGAAGACCAGGUAUAGAGAGAAAAAGGUAAUUCCAAAGUUUAUUUGAUCUACCCGUUUUCAGUUACAAUGCUGGCUAUUUAUAGGUGCUCCUAAGGCUCCAUUUGCAAUUUGUUUAAAUGUUGUGGACCAAUCUGAAAUUUAACAAUUGUGGCAAUAGCUUGAGUGGGCUCCUUGUCGCAUGGGCCUGGGCCUUCAUCAAGUGGCGUAACGGUAAGCGAAUUUCGAAUCCGCAGUCGCGUAAUAUCCAUUAUCGCUCAAUCCGCCCCGGCUGGAAGAAAACUCCAAGACCCCCCUUUCGAUUCUUACACCUUUCUGUCGUAAAUCACACCAGCACCCAUCCUUUCCUACUGCAAAGCUCACCUACCCCUCCCCUACCUCCUCCUUCUUCGACGGAUAGCAUGAGGACCUAGUGGAGAGUGGUCCGGUGAAGCCAACACCGACUUGAAAAAGGGUGAUUCGGCGAGGUCAUCACCGGUUCAGAAGAUCUACUCCGGAUUCAAUACAGCCCCACUAACUCACCCCUUUUAUUAUUUCCCUUUAUUUCCGUAGUCUUAUUCCUUUUUUUUAUUUUUUAUUUUUUAUACACAGGUGUUACAGUCCCCUUCCCUUAGGACGAUCCCUGUCCUCAGGGUCGAAUUUUAGAAAUUGCAGCCUGAGAGUUCGAGGAUCCUCACAAGUAGCCGAUUCCGGGGGUAGAUUGCGUCAUUUGACUAGUACCUCCUUUGCGAUACCUCGACCUCGUUUAACGGCUCUCUCUGCCAACACUCCCUCGGGCUCAGCCAACAGUUGCCCUUCUUUUCCAACCACGGGUACCCCAUUUGUGACCUUAUUGUUCGUGGUAGGACUUCGUUUAAGUUGGGAGAUGUGAAACACAGGGUGGAUCAGAGAUCCUUCAGGUAAUUUUAACUUGUAUGCGACUUGCCCCACGCGUGAUAUAAUUUCGAAGGGUCCGUAAUAUCGAGCAGCUAGUUUAGGAUUUUUUCGAGAGGCCACGGAAAUCUGCCGAUAAGGUUGAAGUUUCAAAUAUACCCAGUCCCCCACAGAAUACUCCUUUUUCUUUGAUAUUUAUCGGCUUGUUGUUUCAUUCGAUUCUGAGCUAUUUGUAGCCGAUCCCAGAGGUUAAGUGGUGCCAUUCCAUAAAGAGCCUGAUAGGGUGUCAUUCCAAGACUUUUUUACGAUGUCUGUGUUCCGAGCAUCCAAGCAAGUGGAAUCACUCUAUUUGCCCUAAAUUGAGUGGUGGUACAAUACUAACUAUCAUUCCUCUCUUGGAAUGACAGUCUAUCAGGCUCUUUAUGGAAUGGCACCACUUAACCUCCAGGAUCGGCUACAAAUAGCUCAGAAUCGAAUGAAACAACAAGCCGAUAAACAUCGAAAGGAAAAGGACUAUUCUGUGGGGGACUGGGUAUAUUUGAAACUUCAACCUUAUCGGCAGAUUUCCGUGGCCUCUCGGAAAAAUCCUAAACUAGCUGUUCGAUAUUACGAACCCUUCGAAAUUAUAUCACGCGUGGGGCAAGUCGCAUACAAGUUAAGAUUACCUGAAGGAUCUCUAAUCCACCCUAAGGUCACAAAGGGGGUACCCGUGGUUGGAAAAGAAGGGCAACUGCUGGCUAAACCCGAGGGAGUGUUGGCUGAGAGAGCCAUUAAACGAGGUCGAGGUAUCGCAAAGGAGGUACUAGUCAAAUGGAGCAAUCUACCCCCGGAAUCGGCUACUUGGGAGGAUCCUCAGACUCUCAGGCUGUAAUUUUCAGAAUUCGACCCUGAGGACAGGGAUCGUCCUAAGGGGAGGGGACUGUAACACCUGUGUAUAAAAAAAGAAGAAGAAGGAAUAAGACGACGGGAAUAAAAGGAAAUAAUAAAAGGGGUGAGUUAGUGGGACUGUAUUGAAUCCGGAGUAAAUCUUCUGAACCGGUGAUGACUUCGCCGGAUCACCCUUCUUCAAGUCGGUGUUGGCUUCACCGGACCACUCUCCACUAGGUCCUCGUGCUAUCCGUCGGAGAAGGAGGAGGUAGGGGAGGGGUAGGUGAGCUUUGUAGUAGGAAAGGAUGGGUGCUGGUGUGAUUUACGAGAGAAUGGCAGAAGAAUCGAAGGGGUCUCUUGAGUCUUCUUCCAGUCGGUGUGGAUUGAGUGAUAAUGGAUAUUACGCGACUGCGGAUCCGAAAUUCGCUUAUCGUUGCGCCACUUGAUGAAGGCCCAGGCCCAUGCGACAAGGAGCCCACUCAAGCUAUUGCCACAAUUGUUAAAUUUCAGAUUGGUCCACAACAUUAACACAAAUUGCAAAUAGAGCCUUAGGAGCACCUAUAAAUAGCCAGCAUUGUAACUGAAAACGGGUAGAUCAAAUAAACUUUGAAAUUACCUUUUUCUCUCCCUCUUUUUCUCUCUCUAUACCUGGUCUUCUUCUUCCUCGCCAAGCUCCUGUUCAUCAUCAUCUCUCCACUUCAAUGACCCUUAACACCAAUCCCUGUUAACAUCGAUCAAUGGCGAGGAGGUGAUCCGAUCAUCACUAUCGCCAUCACUCUCAGAGCAUUGUUAUCACCAAGGUUGUGAUUCAGAUCGAGCCCUUUGAUUGCAUCAUUCACUUGCGAUCAAUUUCUUUGCUUCGCAGCUAGAGAGAGAGAGAUUUUUAUUUUAAAUUUAAAUUUAAAAUUUAAAAUUUUAAAAUUUUAAAUUUUAAAUUUAUAAUUUAAAAUUAUAAAUUUUAAAGUUUAAAUUUUAAAUUUGAUAUUUUUAAAUUUUAAAUUUUAAAUUUUAAAUUUUUAGUUUUUAAAUUUUAAAUUUGCUAUUUUAUAUCUUUGAAAUUUAAAUUUGGUCUUAAAUUUAAAAUUUGAUAUUUAAAAUUAAAAUUUUAAAUUUUAAUUUCAAAUUUUUAAAUUUAAUUAUUGGGGUAAUAUCUUUAUUUUCUAUUUAUAACUAACAACUAUUCCUCUUAUUACCAAUAACAAUCCAAGCACAAUUUUUCUAGUUCCAACUUAUACUCACAUUUUCAUCCAAACAAAAAAAUAUCCUUAUUCUUACAAAAAUCCAUACUUGUACCCAUUCCCGGUAUAACUAGUUCCUACUAAUUUCCAAACCAAACGAAGCCUUACAAUUCAAUGACCUAUUGGUCGGUAUGCCCCGAGGAGCCGUGAUUGUCAGCUAUUCCCUGAUGGUUAGCCAUUAAUCAUAUUUGCAUCGAUCGCCACAACUCGACAGCAUUUCACGAACACCAACGGUCUGAUCCCCCUAGGAAGGUGUUCUUUUUCGAAAAAGUAGUUGGUUGCCAACCCGUGAGCCCAGCAGUCAUUUGCUAGGGUUAUAUGCUAGAUUAAGGGGUUGUGGUUUGCCUGAGGUCCUUAGACUGACACGGCCGUAUAGAUUGGGUAUACUUGUACUAUCAAUUGCAGUUGACGCGUAGUCAUUUCUCUAUCUCUUUUGCAGUAGCGGUUAUUCAUACCAUUACUACGGUUGUUUUCGGUUCAGUUAUCAUGCUAUUGCACUAGUUUGACUAUUGAUUAUAGUUGGUCGUCACUUUAUUAUCUCACUUUACAGUAGUAGCUUCUUUGGUGAUUACUGAUUGAUACUAUUUAUUAUUAUCAUGCCCAAAUUUACUUGUUAUUACUGCUAUUUACCCCUCCUUCUGCCGAUGGGUACAGUUUGCCUUCGUCGGCUUAUGGUACCCACUAGGAGGGAGAGACAUGUUUACAUGUUCUCAUCCCCCCACCUUUUUUGAGGUGAUGCGGGUGAGAUUGGUUGGGAUGCAGCGUGAGGCCGUAGCUAGUGGAUGGUCAUAGAGGUCCCGAUCUGCGGUAUACCUUUUUGAUUACUUCAUACAUAGUAUCAGAUAGAUGUUAGUGGAUAAUAUAAAUCUUACACUACAUUGGUUAUUAGAUAUCUACUUGUGGUUCAGUUGGUGGUUUACACUUGAUGUUUUGGAUGAUGUAUGUAUGAGUUUUGGAUACUCAUGUUUUGGAUACUCGUGGAUUUGGACACAUAUGGCUUUGGAUUCGGAUUUCAAAAUAUUGUUUUCUACUCUUCGUGGUAGUGUUUUCAAAAUAAAGGUUUUUAUGUGGGAAACGGUUUUCAAAGUGGUUUUUUGACUUUUUGUGAAUUUUUGAAAAAAAAAUAGAAUUUUAAAGUGAAGCCUUCAUGUGGGAGGCACUUUCAACUAGUAGGAAUGAAUGUGAAUUUGAUGUGGAAUGGUUGCGAUUAAGGACGGCUAGCUGUAUGAUGUGAAAUGAUAAUCUUUGUGACUCGUGAUUGUUGUUUGUGUGAGUGGAGGUCACGGUUGACAAUUGUACUAUAUGCUACGCCGUGCAAAUACAGGGAAAAACUCUAUCCGUUUGUUUUCGAGAAUUUUUUAUAUUUGUGGCGACUCUGUUGCACUCUUAGCGGUCAAGGGUUUAAUAAAAAAAAAAAUUGACAGUUUUUCGCUUACUCUGAUUUAUAAAGAUAAUCCGAUUUCGAAUCGGCUUUCAAAAAGGGACCCUGGGGCGUGACAUUCCAUCCCUUGGAUAGAUAGAGAGAGAGAGAGAGAGUAGAGCUUUUGGUUUUACGGCUUGGAGGGAGAUCUUUCAUAUCUUUCGAGAUCCACCCUACAAUAUGGGGUUAAAAAGCCAAAAUAAGCAUUGCACGGUAGGCACGACCCAUGUGGGCCGGGGGCCAAACUAUCGGCCCAGGCUCGUAAUGGGCUAUGCAGUGCCAAGCCGACGAGCUUAGUUUGAUUGGCCCAACACGGCCCAUGAUGUUGGGUGGGGCCGACCCGACACAGAUUCUACAAUACUCGUGCCAUGCUUGGGCUCGGCCCGUACUCAUGCGUGGGCCACCCAGCCCGUUUUACAUCCCUGUGUGUGUGUGUGUGUGUGUGUGUGUGUGUGUGUGUGUGUGCAUUGUUACAUAUGUAUACCUCCAUAUAUGAGCUUUAAAAAAAAAGUCUAGUCAUGGAGUAGAGCUCUAUGUAAAGUGUGCUAUGCACUUUAGUUAAUUAUAAUUAGAUGCUUAUUAUGAUGGUGGCUUUUGAUGUAUAUACAUAUAAAAUCAAUCUUUCUUCCAAAUGUUCUCCCAUGCACGUGUUUUUCUUCAAUCAGCAUCUAUACACUUCAUCGACUUAUGAAUCAUGAAGGAACUGCUAGCAUUGUCCACAUAGUUUGCAACUCGGCUGUUUUGUGAGAUAAAGAUCGGUUGGAUAUACACGAUUUCGUGUGUAUACGCAUAGAGGGCGAACAUGUGCACAACUAUGUUAGAAUAUCAGACCAAUGAUUGAAGCAUACGGCAUCAACCAUAAUGUAGAUCAAAAAAUCUUAAUUGGUUCACAAUAAGAUCUUUAAAUAUAAGAGUUUUGUUUCGAUUUAAUUUUUGCGCAGUAAUAUGUGAACGAUCUGCCGUCACUGGAGUGAUUUUUGGUUUUCAGUUUUUCAUAUGAUAUGUAUUUGACUUCCGAAAAAUUUAAAUUGCAAAAUUAUUUUUCCAUUGCUUUUCUCUGUUGGGCCGAUAAUUUCUUACAUGAUCAACGCUGAGCGCGACGGGGGAGUUCCCCGUAGUAAUUGUGUGUACUUGAAGGAGGUAAAAUAAAGAAGAAAAAUAAGAGUAUAAAGAAUAAAAAAAGAUAAAAAUGUUACAACAUUAAUAGAGAUUAACUUGCACAAUUUGAAAUAGUACAAUAGAAAUGUAAAUAGAACAGCAUAUUUCUAAGUAGUCUAACAUAUGAUCAAAUAGUACAAUAAAUCUUUAAAUUAGUGCAAUAUUUUUAUUAUUUCUCAAUAAAAAUUUUAAAUAGUGCAACAUUCUUAUUCCUACUACCACCACCAUUACUAUUCUUAUUCAUUUCUCAUGUCAUCUCUCCAUUUCCUCUCUUUCUUCUUCCUCUCAUUUCUUUUCGUCACACAUGUCUAGUUUGGGGAUUUCUAGUGAUCUAAUCUUCAAAGCCAGCUUUGGAGGAGGGGCUAACACUGGUGUGUUCAAGCCUCACCCUACUGCAGCUUUAUGCUGCUUCGGAUUGAGUGCAAGGUUCUACACUGUCGCAUACGAAGGGGAUGUGUGUCUCAGUGCAAUGCGUGUGGGACCUCUCUAGUAGAAAGGAUAAGAAGAAAGAAGAAGAAGCAGUAGAAGAAGAUAAAAACAAUCUAUCUAUACACAUACAUUAUUUUUCAUAAGCUUUUGCCACGUGGCAGCACCAUAGUCUCUCAUUCUCAAAAUUUCUACUCUCCAAUCAUUGCGACCGCUCGCCUUCCUCGUAAUGUCUGCCUCUUCGGCUUUCCAUCUCAUUAGUUCCUUUCCUGUAACAUCUGCCUCUUUGGCUUUCCAUCUCAUUAAUUUCUUCCCCGUAGCGUAUGCCUCUUUGGCUUUCCGUCUCAUUAAUUCCUUCUCUGUAAUGUCGCUACUUCAACUUCCCACCUCAUUAGUUUCUAUUUUCUAAGAGGCAUUGCCCGAGGAGUGUCACGCCCCACGACCGCCAAUUUGGUCGGUUCGGGCACGUCCAUAGACACCGAACGAACAGAACCUCCCUUAUCCGCCCAAGGCUCCAUACAACAACAACAUGUAUAAUAAAUUCCCCCAAGAAGAACUUAUAUUAUACAUGGCUUGCACUAGGGCAAGAAACAACAUAAGUGAAAGUAAACUAACUAGUCAUUGUAUCUUGCAACUUCAAACAAAAUACAAAGUUUAAUAUAUACAUUAAUUUCCAAAUUUACAUCACAUGUCCUUCAAGUACAUACAUCAUUGCCUUUACAUAGUCUAGUUCAUCAAGUACAAAAGAUGAAACCAAAAGGGUACACAGCUAUACUCAAAGGAGGCCCACUAUCCAGGGCGCGAUGCCCUUGCCACGAUUCUCGACCGCCCCGCUCGCGCUAGGAUUUGCAAGGUUGGUGGUGUGAGAACUAAUAAAAGUUUUCAGUGAGUUCGGAUGCCGACCUCGCUAACUUACCCACUAGGUCUACUUAAGCAUAUGUAGGAAAGGAAAUAGAUAGCAAACCAGACUAAUACUACUACAAUACUUGUACAAAACUGAAUAGAGAUAAUAUACUCAUGAUGCAUGCAUGCUCUUUUACCUUUACCCAAUCCGCUUGGUUAACCAUUUGGUUAAACCUAACUCACCAAACCAAAUCUCUUUUGUUGGGGAGAAUACCACUACGACCGUCUGCUAGGGAGAAUUCCGCUACCACCCAGUUGAUGACACUCUGGAGCUCACCGCUUGAGGUGAAGCAACCACCCUCAAGCAUUCAAACUACCUAUGAGUAUAAUCCAAUCCUCACUUGGAGGAUACCAUGCCACAACCUUUACAAAGUUCUCUUUGUUUAGCAUUUCCAAUUCUAGAUGCUAACUAAUUCGUCUAGUUAUAAUGCCACCUUGUUUACUAUUGUCAUGGCCUAACACAAGUGCUAACCGAUCCAUCUAGUCACAAUGUCACUUUGUGUACUAUUGAUAUAGUCCAGUACUUUGUUCAUACAUUCAUAGGGUUUCUAUGUCAUGAUCCUUUUUCAUUCCAUAUGUUUUCUACAUUGGAAGUAUACAAGCUUACUCACAUUUUAGCCACAUGAUAGCAUUACCCCACAAUGCAUGAAUUCACUAUACAUAUACAUGUAUGCUCAAGAACGUGACAAAGACAUAAUAGGUCAUUCGAAGACUUUGGAUAGCACCACCCACCUUGUAGUGAUGCCGGAGAACGAGAAACCAAUUCCCGCGAUUUAUAGACGUCCGCCUUCUCUCGACCCACGACAAACGAAGCCAAAAUGAGAAUUUUCCUCAAUAGCUCGACGUAGGCUCGUUGGAACUUCGAUCCGAGCCUCCCAACGCGUCGGUUCACACUUCAAUUAUGACUACAAGAGAUCAAACCCAUGUUAGAUCUCUCAUUUCACAAAAUCCCAUUUCUAACUCUAGGGUUCAUACAUUAUCCCCCAAAACACAACCUUUCUAGGAUUUCAUAGCAUAUAACAAGCUCUAGAAAUUCAAGAAACUUGAAAACCAACAAAUUAUGGAAUUUAAACCAAACCCUAACCAAGAGAUAUAAGAAACCUACCUUAGGUUCUUGCUCCACAAAAUUCCCCUUGACCAAGAGCUUCUUCUCCACCAAAACCCCCCAAUUUCCAUCUUGAAAUUUCCUUCAAUCUUCACCUUGGAGGAAGGCUUCUAGAGAGAAAAGGAGAAGAAGGUGAGGAAGAGGAAGAACCGAAGCAUUCUCUGCAUGGGAAGUAUAGGUGUAGAGUUGGGGUAUUGAUAUAGGCCUCAACAAUUGUAAAUAAGCCCCCCUAAGAACUGACUCUCAACCUUCACAUUUUAGUCCCUCGCAGACUGGGUACCCGUACUAGGGUUGGAGUACCGGUACGCGAAGCUCCUAGUACCGGUACCAUACACACUGUACCGGUACCAGCCUUCCAAUCUGAAGGCUACGCAAUCUUUGUUCACAACACAGUACCAGUACACGAUUCCAGUACCGGUACACAGCCUCUCAUAGUCCGGAUCCCGAGAGCUGUGUCAACACACCGUAAUUGGGUACCGGUACUGUAUUGCUCUGGUACCGGUACUCAAUGCCACUUCUGCACUUUGACAGCAGCAGUGUUCCGGGGUCCAUUUUCGCGCUGGGUUUGCACCGAAAACACUUAAACAACCUCGAAACUCACUUCUAGCCAUCCCCACACCUCCAAAGCAACUCGGGGACGACCCAUAUCAAGCUCGUGCCUCACUUUGAUCAACUCGAUCAAAGUUAGCAUCGUAACUCGGAAAUUUGGUAUAUUACAAGGAGCCCGUGGGCACGGCAUAUAGCGUCCUCGACAACGACCUCGCCUACUACGUCCGCUCCAACCUCAAGCCCCACAGGCGCGCCGCCCUCGCCCUCACUGUCAACGUCGGGGGAGUCGAAUUCUAACCCUAGCCCCCAACCCUUCUCCCUCGAUCUCGACCACUUAAAUUUGUAAUGUAUAGUUAUGCAAAGGGUGUGUAUCCCUCUCCUCUAAUGGCUUCGGAGGAGGAGAAAUAUCGGCUAAGAUACGGACUUGCCGAAAAGGGGUUGAAGGCACUAUAGUACUUCACGAAAUUGUCGGUGUUAGUAGGGAAUUUCCUAAAUGAGGGUACAAAGGGGUCCAAUUUUUAUGUAACAAAUUUUUUUCUCCUAUAGUUUUUUUCAUUUUUCGUUGUUUUUCAUUGAAUUAUAAUUCUAUUCUAAAAAUUUUAAAGUAUUUUUUAUAUUAUUAAAUUUAAUCAAAUAUGAUUAUAUCCGAUGCAUCGCGCGGUUUUCUACACUAGUAUUACACUAUUUUUCCUCAAGAUACUGGAGUGCACAGAAAAAAAAAAGGUUUAAUUUAGAUAUUGUAUACAUACAUCGGGCAAAGAGGCGAUUUGUUGGAAUUUCUAAAACUGUGGACCAAAUUCUUCAGAAAGAUGGAUCAAGGGCUUUUUUGCAAAUGGCCUACUAGAAAAAUUUUAUUUUAAAAUUAGCCCCAACAAAUUUGUAAUUGCAAAUAUGGCCCUAUCCCUGCCACGCAGGCGACACGCAAGCGCCACUUGGGCGGGCUGGGAGCCUGCUUGGCAACAAGUUGAACACAGUGAAUGGUUCAUCGUGUUUGAACACGGUAACACGGUGAAUGGUUCACCGUGUUCAAACACGGUGAAUGGUUCACCGUGUUUCAUAUUUAUAUUCCUCUUCUUCUCCUUUUCAAAAAUCCGAACCCGAACUCGAAAAUCAAAUUAAAAUCCGAACCUGGAUCCAAACCCGAUGGGUUUUAAAAAUCCAUACCCAUAUCCAUACCCGAUCAAAAACCCGAAAUUCGAACUCGGACCCGAACUCGGCGGGUUUUAAAAAUCCAUACCGUUGGAUGAAGAUCUAAAGGAUUAAAAUUAUUAAGUAUUUUAUAUAUUGCAUAAAUAAAUAAAAAUAAAUUAUGUAUAUAAAUAAUUUAUUCAGGUUUGGCUUCGGAUAAUAUUUCGGGUAUCCAUACCCAUUGACAUCCCUAUGUUAGUUGUAUGCCCUAGAAGCCUAUCAGGCUGACGCAUUUUAUUUUUUAUGGGACAUAUUUUUGUAGUUAAUCUUUAUUAUUGGGCCUUUUAUUUCAUUCAUGUUAAAUGUGUCCAUGAAUCGUCCUUUGAAUUAAUAAGAUGAUAAUAUGUAUUCUCAAGAGUUGAGAAUUUGAGAUACAUAUUAUUCGUGAUUAAUUCAUAAAUGCUCUCAAUCGGAGGAUCAUCAUGGGAACGAUGAUUGAUCCGGUAAUAUUGAUGUGUGUGCCGCUUCCCUUUUGGGAUAACGAAUCUCGAGUCAUCAGUGUGGGGACACUGGAGCGAACAUGCAGGUUGUUGUUGGAGAACAAGGGUACUGAGCGUGACCAACUACGAACAGUUACAUGGAUGUCUACUCAUUCGUCAGUAACUGGUUCGAUGUUGCAGUGGUACAACUGAUCCUUAGACCUACGACACUACGACCAUUCAAUGUGAGGCUACCGUAGUUUGACUAUGCAACAAACUUUGAUCCUAGCCAUGGGUCUUAGUAGUAUAUGUUGGCCGCAGUCAGUUCAUAUUAGGAAUGGGUGUGUGUUUAUAGGGGAUCUAUCGCUCUCGGUAGAGAGAUAAUUAGUUCUAUUCUAUUUGUAAGGCAAAGCUCAGAAAUUCUCGGCCGGGGUAAUAUGGUGUAUGGAAAGAGGUUUCCAAGAGUAACCAUAAGAGUUUCUGUCCUAUCAAAUUUGUCAUAUGAUGGGUGAUGGGGUUUGACGAAUAUUCCAUGACCUCUACUCAGUUGGAACUAUGUGAUAGAAGGAUUGUAUUGUACGGUAACUGCACCUAGAGGUUCAAUCCAAUAUUCACUUCUGACUGGAUUGCCACUACAUGCUGCUAGGCGUCACUUGUGGAUUGUGGGAACCAAUAGAAAUAAUUAUUAAUAAUAAAUUAUUCUAUUAGGGUAGAAUCAAAAGAGUUUGAGCCAUUGAAAGGAGUUUCGAUGAUGAUGUAGAUGGAGAUCGCAUCAUAUCUCACUACCAGACAGAAUUGCAUCUAUUAGGUCACACAUAUAAGAAAUCGCGCAUGAUUGAUAUUUAGGAGACGAUAAAAGAAGUUUAUAUUGGUUGGAUUAAUUGCAAUUAUAAUAUAGUUAAAUACUAAAGUUUACUAAUUUAUUAGCAAAAGGACUAAUUCGCAAUUAUUGUAAAUUAGAGGUAUUUAUGUGUAAAGGUUGCAUGGUGUAUUUACUAAUCGUCAGUAAAUAAUAUAAGGACUUAUGUGUAAAUGUUACACACAAAUCGAAUUAGAAUUAGGAUUAGGAUUCGGAUUCUGUUAAUAUCAUAACCAACUUGUUGGUUAAUGGAUAAUCCAAUCGGAAUAAGAUUUCGGUUAGAAUUAAGAUUAGGCUUAGGGUUUUCUCAUUAUAAAUAUAUGUCAUAUGACAUAUUAAAAUGAAUGGAAAAUUAAUGCAAGAGAAAUACAAAACUCUAGCCGUCAAUCCUCUUUCUUCCUUAAGUCCUCCAAAAUUAAUCCAUCGGUUUCGAUCUUCAAAAGGUUGCUAGCACAUCAAGAAGAUUGAAUCAUCAUCCUCAAGUCGAUGCAAGAAUUAAUUCGUGAUCAGAUCACGGAUCGAAGUGGUCGUCUAAUUCGAUCAAGGGCAUGAUUUCGUGUGGACGCGAGUAGAGGCCGGGCGUGUGCGUGGCUAAUCGAGGAUGAACAAAUUUUAACAACGAUUGUCGACUUCGCGGUGAUCUCGACCCGCGCGAGGUAAAAUAAAAUAAAAUAGAUCCUAUUUGAUUAGAUCAAUUAGAUAUAUUAUUAAUGAUCUAAAACGAAACACGAGAUGUUCUUUGGUUUUCAAGAAAAUUUUUAAUUGUGUUAUUUUCUUCCGCUGCGUACACAUGAUUUUCUUACAGUGGUAUCAGAAACACCCUCGUCGUUUGUUUUAGAUCUAGUCUCUUUUUCGAUGUUAAUUGGGUUUUUCGAAACGAUCAAAAUCAAGAUAAUGAGGAUUAUUUUUGAACAAUUUUGAUUGUUUCGGAACGUUAAUUAAAACCGACGCACGAUGCGCUAUUCACGCGGCCAUGGCACUCGGCAUGCGGCCGAGAUGGAUGCAACGUGCAAGAAGCGCUUGCAUGAAUUCGUCAUGUUGAUGACAUACAUGCACACAUUAAACUUUAAUGCCUUACAUGUGGUCUCUUUAAUUAGGAUGGCCAUGAAAUAUGUGCAUAGUAGCACUAAUUAAUUAGAUCAUGGCAUGGGCUUUUGAUUGCAUGUGGUACGCCGCAAUGUGCAUGGACAAUAUGCACAUGGUGCUAUGUCCGUGCGCGUGCCAUGCAGGCAAGCAGCUUGCGUGCAGUCUUUGUGUGCAACGCGUUGGACUAUAAGCGAAAGGCACACGACUCAACUUGGUCGGACAUGACCGGUGAGGGCAAAAUGAUCACCAAAACACUACGCAUUUAGCGAAGCGGGCUCACUUAAAUGCGAUUGCACACUGAAUCGCAAUUUAAAUUAGUUUUAAAUUUUAAAAUUUAAUAAAUGAGAUGUAUUAGAUCCUUUUUAAUAAUUUUACGAAAAUUGCGAUUCUUGAAACAAAUAAAGAUUUGUUUUUAAAUUAAUCUGAAACCCCAAUUAAUUAGAAUUCGAAUUAGAGAAUUUAAUAUUAUAUGCAUGUGAUGUAUAUGAGGUGAUGAUCAUGGAUAGCGACCUUGUGAUGUGCAUGUAUCAUGUGAUGGUGUGAAUUGUUGUAAUUUAAUAAGGACCCUGUAUUAGAUUUUUUUUUUGUGCAUGCGCGUGCAAAUUAAAUUAUGUAAUUUGGAUACCUGCGUGUCUCAUUACUUUUAUGGGUUAUAAAGUUAUUGUUGUAAAAUUAAUAAGGAAAAAGAGUAGUUUAGGCUCCAUGAGGAUUUGUUGCAUUCAAGAGUUGAUGCGAUGCGGAUCAAAUUUGGACCAGAUGCUGAUCAAGGGGGAAGACAAGGUUUUCUUGUGUGUAUCAACUCCAAUCCGAUAAAGACGCAGAAUAAGAAAAGGUUUUCUUGUGUGUAAUAUCCUUAAUUAUGACGCGAUUUCCGGCCUAGUGGCUCAGGCCCGAAUCAAGAUAAAAUCCAUGAUCAUCACCGGUAGUUAUUUUUAUAUAUGCGAUGUAUGUAUGCAUGUGAUGUGAUGGUUUGCAUGAGAUGUAAAUUAAUAAUAAAUUAAAACUGAUGAGACAACUAAUCUCCCUAAAUGAAAUAUUAGUUAAUAGUGUUAUGAACCCAUUAGUGGCUUUCCACCGUUGUAGGGUGUGGGCGUCUCUUUAGUGUUGAUUGAUGCACCCGAAUACGGGGGUCAGUUGCAUUAGGGAGCCGCAACCAUUCUAUUCGCAUGAGAUGCUGUGCGGUAAGAAAGGGGUUGGAUCCAAGAUCUGUCAGGAGGAGGAUUCAAUGACAUUCUUAUUUGCACAAUGAACAGUGGGUCAAACUUAACCACGAGAUAAGGCCAAGAAUCUGUCAGGAUGAGGCCUAUAUCUUAUGAAAGCAAAGAUUAGAUUGCAAUUUGCUUGAGAAGCAUUGAACAAGAGUUGUUCACUUAGUUGAUUGCUCAUUGCCAAGAAUCUGUUAGGACGAGGUAAUGUGUAAACAGAUGGGACCGCAAUACCUACUAGAAACUUUUAAAUAAAGUUUCCGUUUUCUCCGCUCGGGGAGUGUGGAGAUUUGUCAAAUUAGUGGGAAGCACCAUUUAGAUUUAAAGACCCUAGCUAAUCAAAUGGAUUAUGAUUAAGUACAUAACUAAUUAGAAUCUUAACCUUCUGCAGAAAAUGGCUGCAUCUAACCCACUUGCCAAAAUACUCGAUACUAAUCGCUUAACUGGACCGAAUUUUACCGAUUGGCUAAGAAAUUUGAGAAUUGUUCUCAAUUCUGAGAAACUAGCCUAUGUGUUGGACACAGAGACUCCAGCGGUGCCCAAAAAUUCGACGGCUCAACAAAGAGCUGCAAGAAAUAAAUGGACUGAUAACGAUAUGAAGGUAAAAUGUUACAUGCUUGCGUCUAUGAGCAAUGAGUUGCUAUGCAAGCAUGAGCACAUGGAGACUGCUGCUGAUAUUCUACUUCAAUAUUUAUAUUGCGAAAAAUACAUAUAUUUGUAUUUUCUCUAGACAUGAUAAACUAUUUACCGUGUUUGGACACGGUGAAUAGUUCACCGCGUUCAACUUAACAAUCUGGCUCAGCCCCGCGCGCGUGGCGCUGACGUGGCGUCUGCGUGGCAGGGUGAGAGCCAAAAGUGCAAAUAUAAAUUUGUUGGGACUAUUUUUAAAAUAAAUUUUUUCUAGGAGGCUAAAUGCAAAAAAAGCCCAUGGAUCAAACUUACAAUAUCAUAAAAUUAAUAGAUUUUUUUAUGUAAAAAAAGCCUACUUUUUAUUUUGAUAUGAAAAGUAAAAGGCUAAAGUACAAAUAACCUCUCUAUAAAUAUUCACUUCUGCAUUUUGCCCAUAUAUUUUUAAAAAUCUCUAUUUUAUUUUCUCAAAAUUUAAAAUUAUAGAACUUAAUCUCGCAUUGUUAAUUUUUCUUCAUUGUUCCAUACAUAUAUUAUAUGGUACAACUCAGUAACUAUCUAUAUACCAAAUUUAUUCUUAAAAAUGAUGAAAAAAGAAAAGCACUUCUGUAAAGUUUUAUUCUUAAAAAUGAUGAAAAAAGAAAAGCACUUUAUACAGUUAUUUAACGGAGGUAAAAUAAAAGAUUCUUAUAUAUUUCCACCAUUUUAAAAGAUAAAAUAAAUAUCUUGAUAAGUUAUCCGGUUGUAUCACACUUAUGUACGAAAUAGUGAAGGAAUAAUAUUGGCGUUAUAUUAAGUGCUACAAUUUAAAAAUUCAAGACUAUAAAAUAGAUAUUUUUUUAAAAAGAUAGGAGGAUAAAAUUUAGGAAAAACUUCAAAAACCCUCCCUGUGGUUUCGUAGUUUCUCACUUUGUCCCCCUGUGAUUUAAAAUGUAUCAAAUUGCCCCCCUGUGGUUUCGUUUUUAUUUUUUCGGUAGCUUUUCCGUUAAUAUUUCAUUAAAUUAUAUACAAAAAAACUUCAGAUACCCAUCUAGAUUUAUCAAAUAUUCACUUUAGUACCCUUUAAUUUUAACUUUAUUACUUAUUUAAGAAAAAAAAAUAAUGAAAUUGAUAAGAAAAAGAGAAAAAAGAAACCACAGGGAGGCAAAUUGAUACAUUUUAAACCACAGGGGGGCAAAGUGAGAAACUACGAAACCAUAGGGAUUUUUUUUGUAGUUUUCCCUAAAAUUUAAAACGGAUUUUUACAAAUUUUUUUUAUAUUUUAACUAAAAUAAAUACUACUAUUAAAAGUCCGUAAUUUGAAUCGUGGAAAUUUAAAAUUUAAGAAUCAUAAUAAAAUCGAACUCAGUCCUUAAGGAAAAAUUUUUUUUUUUACUUCAUUCAUUUUUUUUAAAAAAAACUUAACUGAAAGUAUAAAACAAUUUGUGACACCCCCAAUAAUCCCACAUCGGUUGGGAAUGGAAUUGUUAUUAGGUAUAUAAGAGAACUCCACCCUAAUGGUUUGGGUCCAACGAAUUAUUAUUGCUAGCGGAUCGGAUCAUAUUGAUAUCAAAACCGAUUCACCAGCCGGAAGUAUUAGAUGCGUUUUGGCUGAAUCAGGGUCAGAAUGACUGACUAAGUCAGGAUCGAUGAAUGACAAAAUUAGCGAUGUGUGUUUAGGUUCUGUGACACCCCGGCUAAUAAUAGCAUUUUAGGCCGGUGGGAGUUAUUAUUACUUGCAGGUUGAACCGCUAUCCAAUUAGAUUUUAAAUUUAAAAUUUUAAAUAUCAAGUAUAUUAAAUUUUUUAUUACUUGUGCCAGAAACAAGUUGCAGUUGUAUAAAGUUUUGAGGAAAAAUUGUUGAUGGACGCAUAGGAUCCGUUUAGGAACCGCCCGAAUCCGUUGCACCAGAAUGGGACGAAGACCUGACACAUAUCGCAUCUCUAGGGGUAAGGUAAAAACGCAGGUCUCCUUCUGUGAUCGCCGAUCCGUACGUACGUAGCCCUCCCCCUCCCCCUCCCCUCGUUUAACAUCCCUGCACGGUUUAAAGAACCCACCAAACCCACACCUCUCUCUCUCUCUCUCUCUCUCUCUCUCUCUCUCUCCAUCCCCCUUAUGCACACCCCACACGUACACCUCUCCAUGUGACGCUUGUUUGGACCUGAUCGUGGACUCGGAUCACGAAAUGUGUUAGAAAAAACUCUGACCAAAUAUGAUACCGAAUUUAAUGGGAUAUGAAUAUGGACAUUAAAAUUUAGUAUUUAAUAUAUAUUCGAAUUUAAAUUUAUAUUCGAAAAAAAAAAGGAUGUGAAUGUGACUCUUAAUAAAUUAAACCACCUUUAUCUCAUAAGAGAGAUGUUAAUAUAUAUGAGAUAAAAGAGAUGUUAAUAUAUAUUAGAGCCGGACUAAAAUGCCUUUAACAGCAAAAAAUAUUGGUGCCGGUAGGUUUUCGGUUUUUGGACGAACAUUCGUAACGUUAGAAUGAUAGUGAUCCCCUAAAAUUUAGUGAAUGGUUCAUGGAAUAUCAUGAUCUAAGAUGUAGAAUUAGUCAAAGGUAUAAAUUUAAUGGUGAAAAACUUGAUAGCACAAAGUACUUGCUGUUAUUAAAAGCAUUAUAAUUAAACUCUAUAUAUGUUAUAAGAGAAUAAAGUGAUUUUCUAUCAUGUACUUCAUUUGUUUUACUAUAAAUUUUAUAUUAAAAUUGUAUUUAUAUUUAGGCUAAAUUACAGAAAAUCUUUCUGUCAAUAUCUGUUUUUUCACUUUCUUUUGUAAACCUACACUUUGCCCCCUUAAAAAAUAAAAAAUAUUCACAGGGGGUAAGCUGUCAAAAUGACCAAAUUGCCCCUCAUUCUCUUCGUCUCCUCCUCAGCCGCAGCCUUUUCUUCUCUAUUCUUCGCGCCUCCCUCAAUCCCAACUCCGACUCUGUUUUCUCCAUCUGCUCUCCCGCUCCUCCAGCACCCUCGCCGCCCCUCCAUUUCGGUGAUUGUAGGGAGAAAGAUCGGAGUGGGCGUGGACGGAGAGGUGAACAAGGGCAAGGCGAUAGAGGAGGGCGAAGGCGUGUGUGUGGGCAUGGAUAGAGGGGUGGGCGAGGGCAAGGCGGCGGAGCGCGAGGGGAUGCGGCCGAGGACGUCGGUGAGGAAGUAUAAGGGUUUCAGGAGUAUUUUGGGUAUAAAAAAUAGAAUAUAAACAGAACCCUAACGGAACAGUGACGACGGGGGCCAAAGUAAACAUUUUUUAUUUUUUAAGAGGGUAAAGUGUAGAUUUUCAAAAGACGGGAGGGGGGCGGGAGGAGGGGGAAGUGAAAAUAUGGGUGUUGAUAGAGGGGUUUUCUAUAGUUUAGCCUUAUAUUUAUUACACUAUCAAAUUUUAUUGAAUAAAUAUAGGUACACAAAUUGUGAACACAAGUGUGAACCUUUAAUUGCAUUAUGCAUCUUAUUUGCGCUAAUUUAGUUUAUAUUUAUACAAAAAUAAAACUUGGUUGAAAGUUCAUGGACUAGCAGUGAAAUUUGUAUUGAUCGGCAUUCAAUAAUGGAAGAAUUGCCUAUAUAUCCCUAAAAAUUUCUGAAAUAUCUAAUAUACCUCUACCUUUUUGUUUCAAAUAUACCGCCUGUAUAUUUCUCCACUAUUCAAAAUACCCCCGUUGUUAUUCCAGUUAAAUUAUCUUGGGUUAAAUUUAGGGGUGGAAACGAGCCAAGCUCGAGCGAGCUAAUCUCAGCUUAAAUUCGGCUUGAAAUUAAUUUCAAGCCUAAAUUUAAGCUCGAGCUCAGUUUGAAAUUAAUUCGAGCCAAGCUCGAGCGAGCCUAAUUUCAAGUUGAGCGAGCUCGAGCCCUAAACGAGCCGCUUGAAAUUCUCAACAUCGAACGAUUAAUAGUUUAAUUUGUAUAGAAUAUUAUCUAUAAUUUGAUACAAAAAUAUGUAUAAUAAUUCAAAAUACAAAAUAAGUAUAUGAAAUACGGUAUUAUAAUAUAAAAAAAAUAACUUAUGAGUUGAAUAUCUAAUAUUUUCAGUCUCGCAUGUCUUUUCUUCCACUUUCAAUCUUCAUAUUAUUCCUUUUCAUCUAUGCGGUCAAAAAAUAAAUAAAUUAUGUAGAUAAAUAUUGGAUUAAACUAUCCAAUCAUAUAUAACUAAAAUCAAAUUUUUGUAUAAACAAUAUUUUUUUAACUUAAAAAUAUUCUGUAUAUUUUUUCAAGUACACAACUAAUGGUAAAGUAGGCAACAUCGAGCGCAUACUGUUACUUAGUUACUUGGGGGGCUUCAGACUUAGCCGCUUGGGGUGAGAGAUAGAGAAAAAGAGAUUAGGGAUUUAUAGCUCUGUGAAAGAAAGAGAGAGAGUGUAAAUUUAGUAAAAUUUUGCCCUUUUGUUGGCCUAUUAGAUUUGUUUUUAUGGGACAGCAACAUUAGUCCAAUUUUAACUAAACUCAGAUUACUCACUCAGCCUACAUAUAAUUAAAAUAUUAUAUAUAUAUACUUUUUAAUAUAAAAAUAAAUAAAUAUACAUAUGUAUUCUCUUAUGUAUAUAAAUAAAUAAAGAUAUAUAAAUAAAUCCCCCUAAUAGUUUUGCCUCUCUCUAGACAAAUUGUCCAUACUGGAAUUGUAACUAGUAGGAGGGUAGUUAUAUAUAUCUUUAUUUAUUUAUAUACAUAAGAGAACUUUUUAAUAUAAAAAUAAAUAAAUGUUUAAUAUAAAAAUAAAUAAAUGUACAUAUGUUUUCUCUUAUGUAUAUAAAUAAAUAAAGAUAUAUAUAACUACCCUCCUACUAGUUACAAUUCCAGUAUGGACAAUUUGUCUAAAGAGAGGCAAAACUAUUAGGGGGAUUUUUUUUGGACUGGGCUACUAUUAGUAGCAAAAUUCCAUUGUUGCUACCAGUUUUUUAGCCUUUGGAUCAACUCUUUUUAUUAUUUCUAACCAUUGGAUUAAAUACUAUAACCCAGUGGGGACCACUCAACUCUAACCGACUAAUAUCAUCCAGACCCUACAAUUUUUCAUCCAAGGGUUAAAAACUUAAUAGCAAAAAGAGCGUUUUACUAUUAAUAGUAUUCCAGCCUAAUUCUAUAUCUCUCUCUCUCUCUCUCUCUCUCUCUCUCUCUCUCUCUAUAUAUAUAUAUAUAUAUAUUCGAGCUUUUCGAGCCUAAUCCGAGCGAGUUGAGUAAUACUCAAGCUCGGCUUGAAAUGAAUUUCGAGCUUUUUCUUUUGUUCAAGUUCGGUUCAUUUAAUUUCGAGUCGAGCAUGAGCAAGCCAAAUAUCGAGCCGAACGCGAGUCGAACAUGAGCCGACUCGCCAUUUGCCAACCCUAGUUAAAUCCGAAUUAAAUUUCUACUAGAGUUAAAAAAAAAAAAAAGAAAAAAAUACCUCUCUUGCCUCUAACCUAAGAACAAAUAAGAAAAAUUAGUGAUGGUAGAAGGGUAUGAUAUAUUGAACCUUAGCAAAUUGGCAAGAUUACAAUAUAAAUUUAUACUUGAUUGAGUUGGAGACGUUUUGCACAAAAUAGGCCCAAAAACGGACUUUAAAACUCAAAAUUUAAUUUUUAGAGGACUAAAAUUGAAAUACUUAGUUUGGAGGAGCUUUUUGGCAUUUUUGCUAUAUUAGGCGGUGGAGUCCAUGUUGACAUCCCAUCCUUAUCUUCGUUUUUGUUGUUAAGUUUUACGGAGAUAGAGAGAGAAGGGUAGAGCACAAAAGGAAAAAAAAAAGGGGAGAGAGAGUUUGGUUUCGUUCUAGCGAGUGAGUGAGCAAGUUGAGCGCGCGCGGGUGUAUUUUUAGGGUUUCGACGUCGCGGUUAGUAUCACGACACUAUUAUCUCUCGUUUAGACUAUUUUGAUAAUUUUUUUGGUAGAAAUUGAGAUAUGUGUGUGUGUGUGUGUGUGUGUGUGUGUGUGUGUGUGUGUGUGUGUGUGUGAUAUUUUCUUAAAGAUCAAUAGACAGCUACAGAUAGUGUAGACUAUAACUGUAAUUUGGACACUAUGACAGUAUUAUCAUGAUCUGUUUGAUCAUCGCAUUUGACCACAGCCUGCAUACUAUGUUGAGUUUGACAGUAAUACUAUACUCGGUUGGGGUAGUGCCCCGCGAGUGCCACUCCGGAGGUUGGAUUAUGAGAUAUUAUUAUGAAAUAGGGCUGACAGUAGUUUGCGUGGUAGUGGACCAGUAUAGGUAGGUGUUGGACACAAGGCAGCGCAAACUAAAUCUGAUUGUUGAGUCAGUCACUAUGAUUGGGUAUUAUUGCAGUAUUUUGUUUAGUAUUUAAUUGAUACAUGCAAUACAUGAUUUACAAUUUUAGUUAUAUUGUAGAGGCAUGAUAGUAAUAGUUAUUUUCCGCAAUUAUUUAUACUAGUAUCUGUUCCUUUGUAUUGCUUAGUAUUUACUCUCUUUGCCUCUUCUGGGCCUAGUGGUGUAGACCGUCGGCGUUGUCGACCAUACCCACUGGAGACUAUAUUAUAGUUCUCAUACCCUCUUUAUUAAUAUUUUAGUUCAGAGCCUUCAGCACUAGCGACUGAUCGAGAUAAGGGGAUUGUAGAAAGUUAGCAUCUUCUACCUUUCUUAUGUGUGUAGUUGGACCACCUAUUAGUGAGCAGCCUGUAUAGUGUUUUGAGAUUUGGAGUGGUCAGAGAUAUUGUACCAUUAUGAGAACUGGUGUAGUGAUGAUUGUAUAUCAUUACAGUGUUGCUAUAGUAUAUAAUUUUUAUUCUUCUUUGAUAUCCACUGUUGUUAGAUUUUUUUUUUUGAGUAAAGUAAAAAAAUAAAAAAUAAAAAAAAAUCUAACAACAGUGGAUAUCUUAGUUAAUUUUGUUUGACAGGUUUUGCUGACGCUUCGUAUGUAUAAGGAGUGUCCUUGUGCAUGUAGCGGGUCUAUUGACGUAAUCCAGACUUUCGUUGUAUCCCAGAUGUCAGGCCCCGGAUUACCAUGUUUUUCCGGGCACGCGAACAGACCUGUCGUAUACAUAGGAAUUUUUCAUGUAUACGAAGCAAUAGUUGUACCUGUAAGCAAGUUAUAGCUACAACCAAGUGUAUAGAGCUACUAGAACUAAAAACAUAUAUAGAAUAUAAAGGGUUCACUGUACAUACAAAAGUCCACAAUAGCACCUCACUUUAGCGAGUACACAAAACAUAAAGUAUGUAUACAAAUACAACUCACUACCUCUGAUGGAUACUUCGCUAGCACGGCGACCAAGGCUGGUAGGGAUCUAGCUCGCGACUCCCUUACCACGGUCAGAAUCAGCAAAAGCAGCAGCCGUAGACGAAGACUCUGCAAAAAGGUGUCAACUACUCGGUGUGAGAAUUACUACAAAACAGAGUAGUCCUCAGUGGGUACCGUUACCGACCUCAACGGCCUACCCACUAAGUCUACAG
RNAcentral lists this long non-coding RNA (25432 nucleotides) under Ananas comosus (pineapple). RNAcentral describes it as "long non-coding RNA (ACOM_LNC017589)". The record is from RNAcentral. Lineage: Eukaryota; Viridiplantae; Streptophyta; Magnoliopsida; Poales; Bromeliaceae.